ACCGUCCCGCGGCCGUGCACCUCGCAUGCGCGUUCAAAGGCAAAACCACCGUGUGAAACCCUCCCCGUUGCUUCCUCGGGGCGUGGCGCUCGUGCGCCACCCACCCCCACCUCGAAAACCCCCCGGGGUCGGUGGGGAGGCCGUCCCCGAGGGAGGGACCCCAGCAUUAUCCGCCGCCGUCCAAUGUGUGGGACUCUGUCUGAAACAAUGCAAAUCGAAAAGGAUUCA
RNAcentral lists this unclassified non-coding RNA (228 nucleotides) under uncultured Pyronemataceae. RNAcentral describes it as "sequence contains ITS1". Lineage: Eukaryota; Fungi; Ascomycota; Pezizomycetes; Pezizales; Pyronemataceae. The record is from RNAcentral.